This is a non-coding RNA of Schizosaccharomyces pombe (fission yeast), 244 nucleotides long. Lineage: Eukaryota; Fungi; Ascomycota; Schizosaccharomycetes; Schizosaccharomycetales; Schizosaccharomycetaceae. The record is from the annotation of a GenBank genome assembly.
UGAAAAAAAGUCAAAGGCCCUUCAGUAUCCGGAAUUAUUACGGCUUCAUGUAUAAUAUGAUUUAAUCCAUUUCACUCGGAAUCGGCUUACCUGCUAACUAUUUAAUACAGAUUUAUCGUUUGAGAGACACCUUGAAGCUAGAAAAUGUUUUGAGUUUUCUGUAAAAAGUAAGAACACAGCAAAAUAUGCUUAAAUUCAAUAUUGGAUGGCUGCUCUAAAUGAAAUGUUUUGUACUGAUGCUCAU